UGUUCCUACGGGACGCAACAGUGGGGGAUAUUGCACAAUGGGCGAAAGCCUGAUGCAGCGACGCCGCGUGAGGGAAGACGGUCUUCGGAUUGUAAACCUCUGUCUUUGGGGAAGAAGAUGACGGUACCCAAAGAGGAAGCUCCGGCUAACUACGUGCCAGCAGCCGCGGUAAUACGUAGGGAGCGAGCGUUGUCCGGAAUUACUGGGUGUAAAGGGAGCGUAGGCGGGGA
This 230-nucleotide ribosomal RNA is filed under the name uncultured bacterium. RNAcentral describes it as "partial 16S ribosomal RNA". It matches the Rfam family "Bacterial small subunit ribosomal RNA", at positions 334 to 581 of the family's 1533-position model. The record is from RNAcentral.